Molecule: unclassified non-coding RNA, 254 nt
Filed under: plant metagenome
Description: partial contains small subunit ribosomal RNA, internal transcribed spacer 1, and 5.8S ribosomal RNA
Source: RNAcentral
UUUCCGUAGGUGAACCUGCGGAAGGAUCAUUAACGCAUCUCUGACGGCGGAGGCGCGCCCUGCUCCUGACCGAAAGGCCGUGCAGCGGGCGCUCCCGAGUCGCCCAACCAUCGCAAACCCACCGGGCACUCUUGUCGGCGAGGCGCCUAGCGCCCCCAGCCGGAUCGCAAACACCUCUUUUAAAACAUAAUGAUCAACGGACCUGCGUGCCGCCUAAACUUAAACAACUUUCAACAACGGAUCUCUUGGCUCUC